GACGAACGCUGGCGGCGUGCUUAACACAUGCAAGUCGAACGGAAAGGCCCUGCUUUUGUGGGGUGCUCGAGUGGCGAACGGGUGAGUAACACGUGAGUAACCUGCCCUUGACUUUGGGAUAACUUCAGGAAACUGGGGCUAAUACCGGAUAGGAGCUCCUGCUGCAUGGUGGGGGUUGGAAAGUUUCGGCGGUUGGGGAUGGACUCGCGGCUUAUCAGCUUGUUGGUGGGGUAGUGGCUUACCAAGGUUUUGACGGGUAACCGGCCUGAGAGGGUGACCGGCCACAUUGGGACUGAGAUACGGCCCAGACUCCUACGGGAGGCAGCAGUGGGGAAUAUUGCACAAUGGGCGGAAGCCUGAUGCAGAAACGCCGCGUGCGGGAUGACGGCCUUCGGGUUGUAAACCGCUUUCGCCUGUGACGAAGCGUGAGUGACGGUAAUGGGUAAAGAAGCACCGGCUAACUACGUG
RNAcentral lists this ribosomal RNA (468 nucleotides) under uncultured bacterium. Its description in RNAcentral is "partial 16S ribosomal RNA". It matches the Rfam family "Bacterial small subunit ribosomal RNA", at positions 28 to 507 of the family's 1533-position model. The record is from RNAcentral.